UUUGGUGGCAAUAGCGAAGAGGUCACACCCGUUCCCAUACCGAACACGGAAGUUAAGCUCUUCAGCGCCGAUGGUAGUCGGGGGUUUCCCCCUGUGAGAGUAGGACGCCGCCAAGC
RNAcentral lists this ribosomal RNA (116 nucleotides) under Bacillus subtilis. The record is from RNAcentral. RNAcentral also lists the same sequence under 1 other name. Lineage: Bacteria; Bacillati; Bacillota; Bacilli; Caryophanales; Bacillaceae.